AGUGCUUUCCGGCUUGGCACGAUUUGCUUGACGUGCGGAGGGUCACAGGUUCAAGUCCUGUAUCGUCCACCA
This 72-nucleotide transfer RNA is filed under the name Bacteriophage sp. RNAcentral describes it as "tRNA-Val". The record is from RNAcentral.